GAUGAACGCUGGCGGCGUGCCUAAUACAUGCAAGUAGAGCGAACAGACGAGGAGUUUGCUCCCCUGAUGUUUGCCGCAGACGUGAGAAUAACACGUGGAUCACCUACCUAUGAGACGGGGAUAACUUCGGGACACCGGAUCUAACCGCGUAAAAUAUAUUGAACCACGUGGUUCACUAGAAAAAUACGGUUUUGUCGCUACCUAUUGAUGCUUCCGCGCCGCAUUGGCUAGUUGGUAAGGUAACGGCUUACCAAGGCAACGAUUCGUAGCCGACCUGAGAGGGUGAUCGGCCACACUGGAACUGAGACACGGUCCAGACUCCUACGGGAGGCAGCAGUAGGGAAUCUUCCGCAAUGGGCGAAAGCUUGACGGAGCAACGCCGCGUGAGUGAUGAAGGUUUUCGGAUCGUAAAGCUCUGUUAUUAGGGAAGAACGAAUGUGUAAGUAACUAUGCCCGUCUGGAAGGGAACUAAUCAGAAAAGCAAGGGUAACUUCGGC
Molecule: ribosomal RNA, 497 nt
Filed under: uncultured bacterium
Lineage: Bacteria
Description: partial 16S ribosomal RNA
Rfam family: Bacterial small subunit ribosomal RNA
Source: RNAcentral